UACGUAGGGGGCGAGCGUUGCCCGGAUUCAUUGGGCGUAAAGAGCUCGUAGGCGGCUUGGCAAGUCGGAUGUGAAAACUCCAGGCUCAACCUGGAGCCGCCAUUCGAUACUGCUAUGGCUAGAGUCCGGUAGGGGAGUGUGGAAUUCCCGGUGUAGCGGUGAAAUGCGCAGAUAUCGGGAGGAACACCGAUGGCGAAGGCAGCACUCUGGGCCGGUACUGACGCUGAGGAGCGAAAGCGUGGGGAGCGAACAGG
RNAcentral lists this ribosomal RNA (254 nucleotides) under uncultured bacterium. RNAcentral describes it as "partial 16S ribosomal RNA". It matches the Rfam family "Bacterial small subunit ribosomal RNA", at positions 524 to 776 of the family's 1533-position model. The record is from RNAcentral.